UAAUUAAGGCAUUCUACGUGCGACUUAAAUAAUUUAAAUGAUAACAAAAGAGCGGUUGCUCUCUGAUCUAAUUGCAGACACAAUCUGCAGAACCGUCUUCUAUGGGAUUUGAACUUGUGAAGUGUGAGGUGGAGACCUGAAUGUAACAAAUUGGUGUUAAGUGAAUAAUUCCAAACAUAUAAAAUUUAGAUCAUCACACCGAACGCAAACAGAACAAUUAAAUAAACAACUGAAGGCAUACGCAAUCUAAUUAGACAAAUAAGUGAACUUUCCCAUGCCGAAAUCUGAAAGGCCAACAGAAAUAUCUCAUUACAGCACAGAAGACAAAACUUAGGACAAAACUUAAAACUAAUCAAACUUAGGUGAACCAAUUAUAGAGAACAUAACCCUUGUAACCAAUCGGGAAAAGAUGCUUUUAAAUCCCAGAAAAAAAAAUUAAGAGGAGUUUUUUAAAAAACCAUCAUUUCAAUUAUUUUCCAGUCUUACAUUUGGAUUAAACAGAAAAUAUAAGUAAAAAUGCCAACUUUCUAAAAAAACUACAACUAUUUUUACAAAUUUCCAUUACCCAAUGCUGAAAAAUGAGAAUCACGAAGCAAUGAAGAACGGAACACGCGAGAACCAAAAAGUUAAAAACAACACGUAACCAUUUCAAAGACCCAAAAUCCUGCAAGGACAAAAAAAUCCCAUAAAAUCAGUACAUCAGCACUCCCUGCAAAACCCCAAAAUCAGAAAAUUAUAAAAAGAACCCAAAAUCAGUGGCAUGGUCCUCGUUUCUCCAUCAUUCAGUAGCUAAUGACCUAAUGGAAAAGAACCCAAAACAUACAGCUUAAAAUAUGGAAAGUGCUUAUAAAAGCUCAUGAAUAACGUUCAAAGCCUGCAUAGAAAUGGUAUAGCGCAGAUAACAACAAACAAUAAAACUAUGCACAGUAUAACCUAAAUCCGAUAUGUUGCAUUCCCCACACACAGAUUGUUCAAAAUUAAUUUCGUCUCCGUCUUUUUUCAAAUCUGAUAAAAUCCCCAAAACACAAAAAAUAGCAGCUAACUAUUUUUUGAACUCUGUAAACAACGAUAUGCAUCUUAACCCAUUUAACAUAUUCAUAAAAUAACAUCAAACACAUUUAUGCAUGAGAUAAUAUAGAAGUGAAGUCUCACAACUUUCAUAAAAAAUUAUUACUUUGUUAGAGAAAGGCUUGAAAAAAUAUGUAAAUUACUCACCUCUAUUACAAAAAUGUUACAACAGUAGACAAAAAAGGCCAAAAAUACCAAAAGCCGCACCUCCUGAAAUAAAAAACAUAACCAAACGACACAUUCUCAGUAUCUAAACGAUAUCCAGAAAAAAAGAAAUGAACAGACGAAACCCAUGUAAAUAUACAGAACAAACCAAAAAAAAAAAAAAGAACUGAAGCCAGUAAGAAGAUCACAAAUCUGAUAAAGCAAAAGGUAACAUAAUCUAUAUCGAUUUAAUUAUCCAUCCAAAAAGACAUUUGAAUGAAGAACAUUUUUAAGGAUCCAAACAACCAUUAAACUAAACAAUUAAAAGUAAAAACAGCAAAGCAUUCAUUGAAGAAAUAUAUAUAUAUAUAUAUAUUAUAACGUAUUUUGUUCUUUAUACCUAAAAGAAAAACAUUGGCUUUCUUGUAUGCACUGAAGUAUGCAUGUGUCGGAAAUUUACAAUCUAUAGAGACUCAAUCUCAGACUCAAAAAGACAUCUAAAGGAAAAGUAAUAAGAAAAAUAAGUAGUGGUUUUACCUAUACUCCAUGUGUGGACUCCAAUUUUCAAUCACAAUUCAAAAUUCAAGAGGCCUAUAAAUCAACCACAUAGGAAAUGAUCAGUGGAAGAAAAAGAAAAACAACUGAAGCCAAAAUAGCAUCUAACAAAUCAUUUAGAACCAUCACAGAAAACAAUUUUUGCAUAUAAGUAAUUUAAAGGAAUACCAUCAGGUCAUGCAUAUAUACAACGUACCCAAUUAGAUAAGUAGCACAUCAACAAUUGAUGAUCAAAAAGUUAGUCAGCCUCAAUUGCUUGAAUCUAAUUAACUCAAAGAUAAUAAACAGUCCAUUUAAUGCACGGGCUGACUAUCAAUUUUAUAAAGCUAUAAUUCUGUGCAGUUCAAAAACCAAGUGGAAGAAUAGGCAAAAACUAUCUCAUCGCCUGUAAAUGUAAUUAACUAAAUAUUAAACUUCACAGCCACAAAUAAACCUAAAUUCCUCCUAAAACUAUCUCAUUUAAGCUUGAUUUUACUAUAAUCUAUAAGUGUGGUAAAAAAUGGGAGGCCAAACGAUUUGUUAACAAAAAAGGUAGACAUAAAAGUAAAAGGAACAGGGCAGACAUUAGUUGAGGAGAAGCUAAUGUCACCUUGAAUUGACGACAAACAGUUCUUAUCUUCUCGAAUUAACGAAGAUAAGUACCAUUUUUCUUUAAUUCAAGGUAAUAUAAAAAGAAAUUAUACCUGUACAGUGUUCAGAUGUAGCAAUCCUAUGCAAUCGGCCAAAUGAUGUGUGUCCUCUCAAAGAUCUGUAUAUCCAUUACAGACUAAUCUUCAGUCUUGCAGAAAAUGAUAUGUUGACUACAAUUUCCCAUACUACUAAAAAACACAAAUAAUUCUAUCUACAAACCAAAUAAUAUGUGCAACUUUAUGCUACAAUGGUAGAAUAAGAUGGUUGUACAGGACGACACAAAGAUUGAGACUUUUUUUUACUUCUAAAAUUCUACACACUUUCGAGCCCUAAAUUUUCCCGGAAACAAAAAAAAGUGAAAGAAGUCGUACCUGGUUUGAGAGAGUGGGACACCAUCGGCGAGUUUGGUGUAGCAGUGAUGGCGGAGAUCUCUGGUGAGAAAGCUAAUAAGAUGGACAAAAUCAUUGAACAAAAAAAACCUCGCUUUUUAAAAUUAAAGUCAACAAAAAUUUGAACAAAGAAAAGAGAACUCAAACCCGAAACAAAUAAGUCGGAGAACUCGCCAGGAAACCCAAAGUUUCUGCAGGAUUGGCGAUUUCCUGAAAACCAAGCUUUUGUAGGUUUAAAAUUUCUUCCCUAAGGCAACAGAUCCAACAUUCCCAACUUUAGCUAUUUCAGCUACAUAAUAGAAAGAAAAAAAAAUUUAUAUAAUUAACUAAUCUGAUUUAAGAUUAAUCGAAAAGCUUGGAAAUUUCAGCUUUAAAAUUACAUGUCAGGCUGCAAAUCUAAUAAAAAGCGUAGAAUUUUAAAAAUGCUGACCUUAAAUACAGAGGCCUUCGCAGGCUGCAAAGAAGCGUUAGAAACCCGAAAAACCGGAUCUCCUGAAACCAAAAACAAAACCAAAUUAACCAUCAUCACCCAUAAUUCGAAGCCACAAACAUAAUCCCCAAAAUUACAACCCAAAAAUUUAAACAAAAAAACCCAUUUAUAAAUCCAAAUUUACACUCCCAAGUGCAAGACUCUAAGCUCCAACUGUUCUUUCUCAACUUUAGCUAUUUCAGCAACAUAACAUAAAUAAAAAGGUCGUACCCAGUGCACAAGGCUCCCGCUUUACGCAGGGUCUGGGAGAGGUGAAUGUCGGCUAGCCUUACCCCCAUUUUAUGGAGAGGCUGCUCCCAAGUCUCGAACCCGAGACCUACCGCUCAUGGGCGAAGACACUUGCCAUCGCACCAAGUGCGACCUCUAGCAACAUAACAUAAAUAAAAAGAUCGUACCCAGUGCACAAGGCUCCCGCUUUACGCAGGGUCUGGGAGAGGUGAACGUCGGCUAGCCUUACCCCCAUUUUAUGAAGAGGCUGGAACAUAACAUAAAUAAAUAAACAAAAUUAAUUUAACUAUAAUUAACUAAUAUGAUUUAAGAUUAAUCAAAAAACUUGGAAAUCUGCUUGAAUCCAAUCUCAAAAUUGAAAACGAACACUUCACUUUUACAAAAGUUGUACAAAGCAAAAAAAAAAAAACAGACAAAUCAAAGUCUCACAAAGGGCCACAACGACAGCAAAAUUGCAACAGAAAGAGGAAAAAUGUUCAAUCAAACCAUUGGAUAACUCUUCUAAGGCAGCCAAAAAAAAACCCACAAAUUCAAAACCACAAAAAUCCAAUCUAAAACAUCGAUUCACAGACUGAGAUGCACAAAAUGAUAUAUUAACAAAUCCAAAACGAAAUACAAAAAUUAAGAACCAACAAGCAAAAAAAUACUGAUUAUCCCCUGCAUACGUGAGCACACGUUCAAAAAGCCUCUCAAAGGCUGAGAUUCAACUUUCAAACAUAAAGACUUUAAGCCACAAUUGUUCUUUCUUAACUUUAGCUACUUCAGUUACAUAAUCGGAAAAAAAAAAUUAUUUAAUUAUAGUUAACUAAUCUGGGUUAAGAUUAAUAAAAAAGCUUGGAAAUUUCAGAUCUAAAAUCACACCUCAGGCUGCAAGUAGAAUCAAAACCAUGGAAUUUCAAAAUCACUGACCUUAAACACACAGGUCUUCGCAGGCUUCAAAGAAAAGUCACAAACUCGAAAAACCCAAUCUCCUGAAAUCGAAAACAAAACCAAAUUAACCAUCAUCACCUAGAAUCCGAAGCUACAAAACAAAAUUCCCAAAAUCAAAACCAAAAAAUUUGAACAAAAAACUCAUUUAAUAUCCAAAUUUACACUCCCAAGCACAUAACAUUCAAAGCAGACAAUUACCCAAAUCAAAUCGACAGCAGGAGAUGCAAUCUUUUAUGGGCUUCAAAUUUUCUUCAAACCGAGACCAAAUUCGCUAGUUUUCAGCAAGAGAGCGUUGCCGUUUGUAACCCCCGAUGAAAAGAUCCAAACAAAUUUGACUAACAGUAGACAGAGAGAGAGAGAGAUAGAGAGAGAGAGGUGAAAAUUACUCGCUGGUGACGAAGCUAAUGAAUUCGGAGACGCAUUCCUGGACGGUGUUCGACUGAUCGGCACGAGUAGAGACACCAGAUCAGAAAGACAGAAAAAUUAGGGUUUGGGAGAUAAAGAAACUGGGGCAGAGAGAGAGGGAAAGAGAAGCAGAAAAGAGGAUAAUUUUAUGCAUUUUUUUUAGCCGCUUUGAAUUUUUUUUGGCCGACAGGCAUUUGCGUCCGAUUAUUUUUGUCGAAGCCGGUGACACCAAAACCGGCCUCCGGCUUUCGGACCAGGAUUGUCUGCCCCUUCAUUUUCCCUGCCAUGU
This 5128-nucleotide long non-coding RNA is filed under the name Malus domestica (apple). Its description in RNAcentral is "long non-coding RNA (MDOM_LNC014825)". Lineage: Eukaryota; Viridiplantae; Streptophyta; Magnoliopsida; Rosales; Rosaceae. The record is from RNAcentral.